CGAUGGAUUAGGCAUGCAAGUCGAACGGUGCAGCAAUGCAUAGUGGCGCAAGGGUGAGGAACGCGUGAGUAACCUGCCCUCAAGUUGGGAACAGCUUCUGGAAACGGAAAUUAAUACCGAAUGUGACCAUAGGAAGGCAUCUUCUGUUGGUUAAAGGCCGCAAGGUCGCUUGAGGAGGGGCUCGCGUCCCAUUAUGCUAGUUGGUGAGGUAACGGCCCACCAAGGCGAAGAUGGGUAGCUGGUCUGAGAGGACGAUCAGCCACACUGGGACUGAGAACUGCCCAGACUCCUACGGGAGGCUGCAGUCGAGAAUUUUUGGGCAAUGGACGAAAGUCUGAACCCCCAGCAAUGCCGCGUGCGGGAUGAAGGUCCUCGGAUUGUAAACCGCUGUCAAGUGGGACGAAACAAAUGACGGUACCGCUGAAGGAAGUCACGGCUAACUACGUGCCAGCCGCCGC
This 458-nucleotide ribosomal RNA is filed under the name uncultured bacterium. Its description in RNAcentral is "bacterial SSU rRNA". It matches the Rfam family "Bacterial small subunit ribosomal RNA", at positions 43 to 518 of the family's 1533-position model. The record is from RNAcentral.